RNAcentral lists this transfer RNA (65 nucleotides) under Anelytra obtusa. Its description in RNAcentral is "tRNA-Gly". RNAcentral also lists the same sequence under 1 other name. The record is from RNAcentral. Lineage: Eukaryota; Metazoa; Arthropoda; Insecta; Orthoptera; Tettigoniidae.
AUUUACUUAGUAUAAUCGUACAUUUGACUUCCAAUCAAAAAGAUUGACACUGCUCAAAGUAAAUA